This 1492-nucleotide long non-coding RNA is filed under the name Cervus hanglu yarkandensis (Yarkand deer). Its description in RNAcentral is "lncRNA (ENSCHYG00000009215.1)". Lineage: Eukaryota; Metazoa; Chordata; Mammalia; Artiodactyla; Cervidae. The record is from RNAcentral.
CUACUCUGUGGCUGGGGCCUGCACAAUUCACUGGUGAAUGAAUGAAUGAAGGACUCCUCCCUCUUAACAGAGAGGAGCACGCCUGCUACCUGGCGCCCGCCAGCUCAUGGACUGCCUGGGGACACUCCAGGGCCUGACCUGCUGAGCCUGGGCCACCACCCGCAGAAAGGGACUGACGACUGGGUCGUCAGAGAAGAGUCGCUGGCAGAAACUGCUGGCUUGCUUCUGCACCAGGGGUGGCCUCCAGAUAACUGGGCCCAAGAGGGUGCUAUCACUGAAAGGAGCUGCACGCGGGCCCAGGGCCAUGGCGGAAGAGGAAGCCUGGCAGGUGGAGAUGAGGCGGAGGCCCUGGGUAAAGAGGGAAGCAGAGACACAGCCCGGGACCACCUGGCACAGUUACGCAGGCUGUGCACUGCACAAGUCUAGAGCAUUCCAACAACUCAGACUAUAGCAGCCGAACCUCCCAGAGAAAGCAGACCCAGUUCUUUGGCCUUUGACCCUCGCCUCCCCCUUCACCAUUCAGCAUGUAUUCAGUCACUCAGUUGUGUCUGAUUCUUUGAGACCCCACGGACUGUAGCCCACCAGGCUUCCCGUGUCCUUGGGAUUUCCCAGGCAAAAACAUUGGAGUGGGUUGCCAUUUCCUUCUCCAGGGUAUCUUUCCGACCCAGGGACCGAGCCUGCAUCUCUUGCAGAUUCUUUACCACUAGCACCACCGGGGAUUUCACCAUUCGGAGACCUGGAUGAAUGAAUCCCUAAUCACAGUCACUGGGUCCUGCUGCCUCUGGGUGGGAGGUUAGAGGCAAGCUUCCGGAGCUCAUUCUAACACACCCGGCCCCACCCUGCCUGGAUGCCAGCCAGCACCAGGGCCAACAACCCCCUGCGUUACUGUGCAGAGCGGGUGUGGUUUCCUGGUGACCCAGCCAGACAUCCGUCCCUGAGCUGGUGAAGCUGGAGCUGGGGCUACAGCCCCGCCUGGAUACCUUCCCCGCCCUUGCCUGUGCUGCCCCAGGACCAGGCAGCAGACCUGGCAAAUAGAAUGAUACAGGGCCCUGGGGAGAUCUGAACCGCAGGUCAACAAAGAGCAAGCACUUUUUCAGGACAAGUAUGUCCCAGGAGAAGACUCCUGAGAGUCCCUUGGACUUCAAGGAGAUCAAACCAGUCCAUCCUAAAGGAAAUCAAUCCUGAAUAUUCACUAGGAGGACUGAAGCUGAAGCUCCAAUGCUUUGGCCACCUGAUGCAAAGAGCCAACUCGUUUGAAGAGACUCUGAUCCUGGGAAAGAUUGAGGGCAGGAGGAGAAGGUGGCAACAGAAGAUCAGAUGGUUGGAUGGCAUCACCAACUCGAUGGACAUGAGUUUGAACAAGUUCCGGGACUUGGUGAUGGACAGGGAGGCCUGGUGUGCUGCAGUCUGUGGAGUCCCAAAGAGUGGGACACAGCCGAGCGACUGAACAACGUCCCAGGUAAUAUUUAGAACAAACGUGUGCCAAAAAAUG